RNAcentral lists this ribosomal RNA (465 nucleotides) under uncultured Desulfobulbus sp. RNAcentral's name for it is "bacterial SSU rRNA". It matches the Rfam family "Bacterial small subunit ribosomal RNA", at positions 925 to 1382 of the family's 1533-position model. Lineage: Bacteria; Pseudomonadati; Thermodesulfobacteriota; Desulfobulbia; Desulfobulbales; Desulfobulbaceae. The record is from RNAcentral.
ACAAGCGGUGGAGCGAUGUGGUUUAAUUCGAUGCAACGCGAAGAACCUUACCUGGUCUUGACAUCCCGGAGACCCUUAGGAAACUAGGGGGUGGCUUCCAUCUGGAAGAAUCUGGAGACAGGUGCUGCAUGGCUGUCGUCAGCUCGUGUCGUGAGAUGUUGGGUUAAGUCCCGCAACGAGCGCAACCCUUGCCUUUAGUUGCCAGCAGUUCGGCUGGGCACUCUAAAGGGACUGCCGGUGUUAAACCGGAGGAAGGUGGGGAUGACGUCAAGUCCUCAUGGCCUUUAUGACCAGGGCUACACACGUACUACAAUGGCCGAUACAAAGGGCAGCGACACUGCGAGGUGAAGCCAAUCCCGUAAAAUCGGUCUCAGUCCGGAUUGGAGUCUGCAACUCGACUCCAUGAAGUUGGAAUCGCUAGUAAUCGUGGAUCAGCAUGCCACGGUGAAUACGUUCCCGGGCCUU